This 429-nucleotide ribosomal RNA is filed under the name Pseudomonadota bacterium. RNAcentral's name for it is "Proteobacteria bacterium partial 16S ribosomal RNA". It matches the Rfam family "Bacterial small subunit ribosomal RNA", at positions 355 to 776 of the family's 1533-position model. The record is from RNAcentral. Lineage: Bacteria; Pseudomonadati; Pseudomonadota.
UGGGGAAUAUUGGACAAUGGGCGAAAGCCUGAUCCAGCCAUGCCGCGUGUGUGAAGAAGGUCUUCGGAUUGUAAAGCACUUUAAGUUGGGAGGAAGGGCAGUAAGCGAAUACCUUGCUGUUUUGACGUUACCGACAGAAUAAGCACCGGCUAACUCUGUGCCAGCAGCCGCGGUAAUACAGAGGGUGCAAGCGUUAAUCGGAAUUACUGGGCGUAAAGCGCGCGUAGGUGGUUCGUUAAGUUGAAUGUGAAAGCCCCGGGCUCAACCUGGGAACUGCAUCCAAAACUGGCGAGCUAGAGUAGGGCAGAGGGUGGUGGAAUUUUCUGUGUAGCGGUGAAAUGCGUGGAUAUAGGAAGGAACACCAGUGGCGAAGGCGACCACCUGGGCUCAUACUGACACUGAGGUGCGAAAGCGUGGGGAGCAAACAGG